This 301-nucleotide ribosomal RNA is filed under the name uncultured bacterium. RNAcentral describes it as "partial 16S ribosomal RNA". It matches the Rfam family "Bacterial small subunit ribosomal RNA", at positions 509 to 809 of the family's 1533-position model. The record is from RNAcentral.
CAGCCGCCGCGGUAAAACGGAGGGUGCAAGCGUUAUCCGGAUUCACUGGGUUUAAAGGGUGCGUAGGCGGGCAGGUAAGUCAGCGGUGAAAUCUUCGAGCUUAACUCGGAAACUGCCGUUGAUACUAUCUGUCUUGAAUAACGUUGAGGUGAGCGGAAUAUGUCAUGUAGCGGUGUAAUGCUUAGAUAUGACAUAGAACACCGAUUGCGAAGGCAGCUCACUAAACGCUCAUUGACGCUGAGGCACGAAAGCGUGGGGAUCAAACAGGAUUAGAUACCCCAGUAGUCCCUGUCUCUUAUAU